RNAcentral lists this ribosomal RNA (425 nucleotides) under uncultured bacterium. Its description in RNAcentral is "partial 16S ribosomal RNA". It matches the Rfam family "Bacterial small subunit ribosomal RNA", at positions 354 to 796 of the family's 1533-position model. The record is from RNAcentral.
GUGGGGAAUCUUGCGCAAUGGGCGAAAGCCUGACGCAGCCAUGCCGCGUGAAUGAUGAAGGUCUUAGGAUUGUAAAAUUCUUUCACCGGGGACGAUAAUGACGGUACCCGGAGAAGAAGCUCCGGCUAACUUCGUGCCAGCAGCCGCGGUAAUACGAAGGGGGCUAGCGUUGCUCGGAAUUACUGGGCGUAAAGGGCGCGUAGGCGGACAGCUUAGUCAGAGGUGAAAGCCCAGGGCUCAACCUUGGAAUUGCCUUUGAUACUGGCUGUCUUGAGUUUGGGAGAGGUGAGUGGAACUACGAGUGUAGAGGUGAAAUUCGUAGAUAUUCGGAAGAACACCAGUGGCGAAGGCGACUCACUGGCCCAAUACUGACGCUGAGGCGCGAAAGCGUGGGGAGCAAACAGGAUUAGAAACCCCAGUAGUCC